This 465-nucleotide ribosomal RNA is filed under the name uncultured bacterium. Its description in RNAcentral is "partial 16S ribosomal RNA". It matches the Rfam family "Bacterial small subunit ribosomal RNA", at positions 339 to 795 of the family's 1533-position model. The record is from RNAcentral.
CUACGGGCUGCUCCAGUGGGGAAUAUUGGACAAUGGGGGAAACCCUGAUCCAGCAAUGCCGCGUGUGUGAAGAAGGCCUGCGGGUUGUAAAGCACUUUCGGUUGGGAGGACUGCUUCUAGCACUAAUAUUGUUGGAAGUUGACGUUACCUUCAGAAGAAGCACCGGCUAACUCCGUGCCAGCAGCCGCGGUAAUGACGGAGGGUGCAAGCGUGAAUCGGAAUUACUGGGCGUAAAGCGCGCGAGGCGGCUAGAUCAGUCGGGUGUGAAAGCCCCGGGCUUAACCUGGGAACUGCAUCCGAUACUGUCUAGCUUGAGUACAGGGGAGGAGAGUGGAAUUCCAAAGGUAGCGGUGAAAUGCGUAGAUAUGUGGAGGAACACCAAUGGCGAAGGCAGCUCUCUGGCCUGAGACUGACGCUGAGAUGCGAAAGCGUGGGGAGCAAACAGGAUUAGAUACCCUGGUAGUC